Molecule: transfer RNA, 57 nt
Filed under: Streptomyces pratensis ATCC 33331
Lineage: Bacteria; Bacillati; Actinomycetota; Actinomycetes; Kitasatosporales; Streptomycetaceae
Description: tRNA-Und (NNN) (tRNA-Und-NNN-2-1)
Source: RNAcentral
GUGGUUCGGGUGGUCGAACUCCUAAAGCGGGUGUCGCAGGUUCGAAUCCUGCCGGGG